This 482-nucleotide ribosomal RNA is filed under the name uncultured bacterium. RNAcentral's name for it is "partial 16S ribosomal RNA". It matches the Rfam family "Bacterial small subunit ribosomal RNA", at positions 30 to 507 of the family's 1533-position model. The record is from RNAcentral.
AUUGAACGCUGGCGGCAUGCCUUACACAUGCCAGUCGAACGGUAACGGGCCUUCGGGUGCCGACGAGUGGCGCACGGGUGAGUAAUACAUCGGAACGUGCCCGAUCGUGGGGGAUAACGAGGCGAAAGCUUUGCUAAUACCGCAUACGAUCUACGGAUGAAAGCAGGGGACCGCAAGGCCUUGCGCGGACGGAGCGGCCGAUGGCAGAUUAGGUAGUUGGUGGGAUAAAAGCUUACCAAGCCGACGAUCUGUAGCUGGUCUGAGAGGAUGAUCAGCCACACUGGGACUGAGACACGGCCCAGACUCCUACGGGAGGCAGCAGUGGGGAAUUUUGGACAAUGGGCGCAAGCCUGAUCCAGCCAUGCCGCGUGCAGGAUGAGGGCCUUCGGGUUGUAAACUGCUUUUGUACGGAACGAAAAGCCUUCUUUUAAUACAGGAGGGUCAUGACGGUACCGUAAGAAUAAGCACCGGCUAACUACGUG